CUGUUUAAGGUCUGUAGACAUAAGGCUUGAACAGGGGGUUGUACAAGAUACCGGCACAUGUAAAGCGCAUGCGUACGCGUGCGCAGUGCUAUGCUAGUGGUCGGAAGAUGGCGUUGAGUAUGUUCGACUCGGAGACUGCUGCAGUGCACUGGAAAAAUCGUGUUUAAUCUCCGUUUUAGAAAAUGAAAGAUUUGGGGGUGACAAACCUGCUUCAGGAGUGGGACUUCCCACAUUUAGUUCCAAUCUUUAGAGUUAAAUGUUGCAGAAGAUGAGCACGAAGAAGACACCUACUGGAUGCAAUAUUACUCAUCACCUGACAACAUUGUUAAUGUGACGAACCUCGGUACCGAGAUAUGAGUUGACUAGAGGAAACCCGCGACCAAGCACAGCAGAAAUUCUUGACAAAUAUCUACAGCUUUUGGGAAUGAUUGAUCAAGACUUUGAUUUAACAAUUGAUGCAGCUCCUGGUGCCCUUUUCACAAUGUGGCCAAAGUUGUCCAGGCAGACUUUGGAAUUUGCGGAGAACAUUAAUCCAGGGUAUAGAAAGAUCCUAGGGGCUGGAGUGGACCAGAAAAUGACGCAGAGUCAACAAUGAAGAAAAUUUGGCUUUCAGUACUUCCUGGGAUUUUGAUCGGCAGAAUGAAAGGGGAAUGAGGCAAAUUAAAUGUGCCGUACUUCAAAGUCUUGAAUCUUUCAUCAAUCUCCAAUUAGAAGGAGCAUGAAGAAAAAGAAGAUGAACAGGAAUUGACAAUGGCGCGUUCCAUACCUGGGAGUGAUUGCACAGUGGCACCCUUGGACCUAAUUUCACCCUGACAUCAAGUUGGUUUUAAGGAGAACCAUGAGAGAAAUUAAUAAAUUAAAGUUUGGCGAAUAUCAAAGAAUAACAGAGUUAUGAGGCUUCAAAGUUUUAAAUUUGUGACAUGACAUGCGAGCAGCUCCCAAUAUGUCAAUCAUGUAAUAUAAAUUCCAUAAAUUGCCAUUUUUUAAUGGUUUUCAUGAUAAUUAAAUGGGUUUUUAUCAGAAGCUUGUAUGAAAUAAUGUUUCUGAUAACAUUGAAUCCACAGGUAAAAUCAUUUUCCAAUUUCCCUAGAAAAGGCACUUGUAUAGAAUUGAUAUCACAUAAAAUAUGGGGAGCUGCUCGCAUGUGAAGUCACAAAUUUAAAACUUCAUAACUCUUAUUCUUGGUGGAUUUUCACCAACUAACAUGCAAUGUCAGGAUGAACCUUGCCUUUAAACCUUAUAUUGGCAGCCUUUCAUUGACAUUUACAUACAGUAUUUUAGGUUUUGUGAGCAAGUAUAUGAAAAAGGUGCUAAUUAACACCUACUUCCCCUUCUUAACCCUAAACAGGCCGGGGGGGGGGGGGGUUUAAAACAACCUUCCCCAACAUUUUCUGCGAUCAUUCCUCCACGGGAGAUUUGUUGACCCUGCCACUCUCAGAGUUUAUACUAAGUCUCGCGCAUCUUUUGAGACCAAAUUUACGAUGCCCAGGUACGUUGUCCCGAAAUUAUGCAACAUUUCGUAAGU
This 1525-nucleotide long non-coding RNA is filed under the name Lytechinus variegatus (green sea urchin). RNAcentral describes it as "uncharacterized LOC121428807". The record is from RNAcentral. Lineage: Eukaryota; Metazoa; Echinodermata; Echinoidea; Temnopleuroida; Toxopneustidae.